GAGGAGGAGCAAAUCUGAAAAAAGACGUCCCUAGUUCGGAUUGUAGGCUGAAGCUCGCCUACAUGAAGCUGGAAUUGCUAGUAAUCACAGGUCAGCAUACUGUGGUGAAUACGUUCCCGGGCCUUGUACACACCGCCCGUCACACCAUGAGAGUUGAGAAUACCCGAAGCCUGUGAGCUAACUUUUAGAGGCAGCAGUCGAAGGUAGAAUCAAUGAUUGGGGUGAAGUCGUAACAAGGUAUC
Molecule: ribosomal RNA, 242 nt
Filed under: uncultured bacterium
Lineage: Bacteria
Description: partial 16S ribosomal RNA
Rfam family: Bacterial small subunit ribosomal RNA
Source: RNAcentral